RNAcentral lists this ribosomal RNA (895 nucleotides) under uncultured bacterium. Its description in RNAcentral is "bacterial SSU rRNA". It matches the Rfam family "Bacterial small subunit ribosomal RNA", at positions 20 to 916 of the family's 1533-position model. The record is from RNAcentral.
UGGCUCAGGAUGAACGCUAGCGGCAGGCCUAAUACAUGCAAGUCGAACGGGAUUGAGAGCUUGCUUUCAUGAGAGUGGCGUACGGGUGCGUAACGCGUAUGCAACCUACCUUCAUCAGGGGGAUAGCCCGAAGAAAUUCGGAUUAACACCGCAUAAAAACACAGCUUGGCAUCAAGCAAUGUUCAAAUAUUUAUAGGAUGAAGAUGGGCAUGCGUGUCAUUAGCUAGUUGGUAAGGUAACGGCUUACCAAGGCUACGAUGACUAGGGGAUCUGAGAGGAUGACCCCCCACACUGGUACUGAGACACGGACCAGACUCCUACGGGAGGCAGCAGUAAGGAAUAUUGGUCAAUGGAGGCAACUCUGAACCAGCCAUGCCGCGUGCAGGAAGACUGCCUUAUGGGUUGUAAACUGCUUUUAUACGGGAAUAAACCUUAAUUCGUGAAUUAAGCUGAAUGUACCGUAAGAAUAAGGAUCGGCUAACUCCGUGCCAGCAGCCGCGGUAAUACGGAGGAUCCAAGCGUUAUCCGGAUUUAUUGGGUUUAAAGGGAGCGUAGGCGGCUUGUUAAGUCAGGGGUGAAAGACGGUGGCUCAACCAUCGCAGUGCCUUUGAUACUGACGAGCUUGAAUAUAGUUGAGGUAGGCGGAAUGUGACAAGUAGCGGUGAAAUGCAUAGAUAUGUCACAGAACACCGAUUGCGAAAGGCAGCUUACUAAGCUAUUAUUGACGCUGAGGCUCGAAAGCGUGGGGAUCAAACAGGAUUAGAUACCCUGGUAGUCCACGCCCUAAACGAUGAUAACUCGAUGUUGGCGAUAUACAGUCAGCGUCCAAGCGAAAGCGUUAAGUUAUCCACCUGGGGAGUACGCCCGCAAGGGUGAAACUCAAAGGAAUUGACGG